RNAcentral lists this signal recognition particle RNA (92 nucleotides) under Armatimonas rosea. Its description in RNAcentral is "Bacterial small signal recognition particle RNA". It matches the Rfam family "Bacterial small signal recognition particle RNA". Rfam says of the family: The signal recognition particle (SRP) is a universally conserved ribonucleoprotein involved in the co-translational targeting of proteins to membranes. Archaeal SRP consists of a 7S RNA and homologues of the eukaryotic SRP19 and SRP54 proteins. In most bacteria, the SRP consists of a 4.5S RNA and the Ffh protein (a homologue of the eukaryotic SRP54 protein). Lineage: Bacteria; Bacillati; Armatimonadota; Armatimonadia; Armatimonadales; Armatimonadaceae. The record is from Rfam by way of RNAcentral.
UUACUGCACGGCAGCGGGUCGGCUUCGAACCUGGUCAGGGCGGAAGCAGCAGCCAUAAGGAGUACGGCCCGCGUGUCGCAGUGCAGAGUGUC